UUGUGGCCUUGAGCCGUGGCUUUCGGAGCUAACGCGUUAAAUCGACCGCCUGGGGAGUACGGCCGCAAGGUUAAAACUCAAAUGAAUUGACGGGGGCCCGCACAGGCGGUGGAGCAUGUGGUUUAAUUCGAUGCAACGCGAAGAACCUUACCUACUCUUGACAUCCAGAGAAGACUUCAGAGAUGAGGUUGUGCCUUCGGGAACUCUGAGACAGGUGCUGCAUGGCUGUCGUCAGCUCGUGUUGUGAAAUGUUGGGUUAAGUCCCGCAACGAGCGCAACCCUUAUCCUUUGUUGCCAGCGCGUGAUGGCGGGAACUCAAAGGAGACUGCCGGUGACAAACCGGAGGAAGGUGGGGAUGACGUCAAGUCAUCAUGGCCCUUACGAGUAGGGCUACACACGUGCUACAAUGGCGCAUACAAAGAGAAGCGAACUCGCGAGAGAAAGCGGACCUCAUAAAGUGCGUCGUAGUCCGGAUUGGAGUCUGCAACUCGACUCCAUGAAGUCGGAAUCGCUAGUAAUCGUGGAUCAGAAUGCCACGGUGAAUACGUUCCCGGGCCUUGUACACACCGCCCGUCACACCAUGGGAGUGGGUUGCAAAAGAAGUAGGUAGCUUAACCUUCGGGAGGGCGCUUACCACUUUGUGAUUCAUGACUGGGGUGAAGUCGUAACAAGGUAGCCG
This 679-nucleotide ribosomal RNA is filed under the name uncultured bacterium. RNAcentral's name for it is "bacterial SSU rRNA". It matches the Rfam family "Bacterial small subunit ribosomal RNA", at positions 824 to 1502 of the family's 1533-position model. The record is from RNAcentral.